Dermacentor andersoni is the source of this 2927-nucleotide long non-coding RNA. RefSeq lists it as uncharacterized. Lineage: Eukaryota; Metazoa; Arthropoda; Arachnida; Ixodida; Ixodidae. The record is from RefSeq and is a predicted model, not a curated record.
AAGCGUGAGAAGCGUAGUGGUCCGCAAGAAGGGCUUUUGCCGAUAGGCGCAAAGAUAGCACGCGUCGCCUGUAUGGAAAUAAAGCGCUGUGUGAGCAGAGGUCUGUCUGAAGCGGCUGCCGUGUAUCGCGCCCACGUGUUACCCGCGAGCUGCCUCGCGUGAUAUCCCUAUAGACAAGAAUGGCGCCGCGAGCGGCGCUGCUGCACCGGCGUUGAGAGCGCCGCAUGCGGGACAAAAUUCAACUAGCGGGUGCUACGCCUCUCCCAUCUCUGAAUUUGAUGCCAAGCAGAAUAGGAGGCAGGAGGCGCUGUUGGGCGAGUCACGGCCACUCGAUGCAAAAGCAAUGUGCUUUUGCAUUGAGCGGCUGUGGGCGAGCCAUAAUUGUCAGGACCUUAGAUAAGCUCCAGCAUCACUCAGUAUGCUUCAUCUUAAUGAGAAACAAUCUACUGAUGAUUAUUUGCAAUGAUAAGCGUUUCUAUUUCAUCUAAGUUGCAUUAGUUGGGAAACUCGGUACAAGUUCUCCCCAUGUAAAGUUUUUACUUUGCGUACGUGUUCACGAGAAGUAAAUAAAAGUACUGGUAGAUUGAUUCAAGCAGAACCUCUCGAUGGAAGUGUGUUUCCCGGUCGUGCAUCGUACGGACAACGGUAACGGAUAGCGUUCAGGCGUAUUGUAGAACAGAUUUCCACCCCUGUGACAAUCUAUUGGCGUUUCUAGCGUCAUCAACACUUCUAAUGACGACUUCAAGAUUUUAUCUGAAAUUUCCAAAUAUAAAACGCAUUAUUUAUGUCUUCAUUUCAGUGUCAGAUCACACCUGCUGACGCAGCUGCGAAGGCGCUCUCUAUCAGCAGCCGUCCCCAAUCAGUGGCGCCGCAGCGGGCGCACGGAGAACUAGGCCCGAGAAGCCGUUCAGGUGCGAAGCAGCGGGCCGCACCCUGUGCUUUUGCAUCAAGCGGCCGUGUCCAGGCACUGGAGGACCGUAUUUUCAUCCCUACUGAACAUCAUGUUUGCAGAUAUGUUCCUCAACUUAUGGCUUGAGCAGUGGCACAACCAGGGAUGGUGCGAGGGGCACACUGGGCAAGUGCUUAGGAUGUGUCACAAGUGGUGUUUGCGACACAUCAGACUAAUGACAGACCUAUGACAUCUGACAAUGACCAAUAUUCUAUUUAUUAGCAGGAGUAUUUUAACAUUGGCGUCGAACGAGGACGAACUGUCGAUUAUUUUUUUUCUUUAAAUCUAAAAAUGGAAGUUAGCUUAGCAGUUGAUUGUUGCAGUCAUUUAGAUGUUUCGCAUGCAUUUUGAUCAGUAGAAAGGCUAAAGCUAAGACUUUCUUUUAGUGCCAUGACCUUGACUGUCUUGAUGUUGGUUUACACCAUGUCCUCGUGUUGACUUUUGCACACAAUCUUUUCCAGGCACCCGCUUUAUAUAACGCAAGAAGGCAGCUGCAAGGACACAGGGAUGUCAAAGAGCCAGCCCAGCGCGACUUCGCGUAGUGAAGAGGAGCGCACGCCAAAGAAUCAAAAUGCAUUGCCGUGCAAUUUGGACAAGAAAACUAGAAUGUGGGUAUAUUGGGUGUACCAUUUGACUAAAUGUCAACGAAAUCACAAUACAGUACGUCGCACCAAGAUGAAAAUUCUCAUGUGCUCUAGGCAGUCAUCUUAACAUGGUAUACUUAUGUAAUGUCUCCGUUGGGAAAGUCAAAAUCAAGUAUGCUCUCUGGAGACAAACACAUAGGAGCAAGUGUCAUUGAAAAGUUAGAAAUGUGUUUUAAAAAAAUAGCUGAUUAGUUGCGAGAAGUGAGUGCUUUUUGUCUUGCCUCUCAACAGAUAUAUCCAUGGGAUAAAAAAAUAGUGGUACAAUGAAAUUGCAUAUUUGCUUAGCGACAUGAUACAUACUUGUAAUGAACUCGGUGCCUGUGUUCACUAUAGAAAGCAACAGCUCAUGCUUGGUUAGGUGCUUACAUACAUUUAACAGCUUUAAUAGCUUACAUUUAACAGCACGUGAAUGCAAGGGUGCAAAUACAAACCACUGAUGUUGUAUUUUAAAUGCCGACAUGAAGCAGGGAGAUUUUCAUGUCUUCCUUUUCAUCUAUCUUUUACACCUAAUUUUAGAAUUAUGGUUUCAUUUUAGGUUCCAGAAAGCGGAAGCGUUAGGGGAAGAGAAUUCCAUGUUUAAGAAGUCAUUAUCGUUUAUGUGCAUGCUCACGAAACCAGUUCAUUAGAACCGCUCGUGCCUCGCGAAGCGAAAGCAAGGAGCAAUUAGGGCCUUUAACUGUGUACACCGUGGUGCAAACCUUACGUCUUAGAAGCCGGAGAGUCACUUGGAAUUGAAAAUUAUCUUAGAAAUGUAAUAUUGUGGUUUCUCCAAACUGCUUGCCAACCAAGUAUGCUAGUGGGGGUAGAGAUGCAUUCAAUGCAAAGAACUGAAAGCAUCUGAGUAGAAAAUUUGGCCAUCAAUUGGCGGAUGUGAACAUAUAGUGUUAAGCGAAAGCACCUUAGUUUCAUGUCUUCUGUAGACAUUCUUCUGGACUUAAGAUAGAGUGCACAGUGAGGCGAUGUAUUAAUCUUCCUAGACACACAUGUACUUGUUUUGAGACGAAGAUUCUGUGAAGUGCAAUAAUUUUUCUUACUUUAGCGCAUCUUAACCACAUCAGUAGGAAGAAAGCUUUGGUUUCAGGUAGUUGGUUGAUUGUGGAAGUAUAUGCAUUGUCGCAUGAAAAAUCCACGUGAAUGGAAGGGAUAUGUGAAACAGGAUGGUGCCAUUCUCAAUUUAUGUUUUGUUUCUUUGGUUGUUUUUUUCCUGCACUUCCCUGCCUGUACUUAUGUCGCCUUUGAUGCAUCAUAUUCAUAUCUAAUUUUUGGUUCACAUCUGAAGCCAUGCUUUACUUUAGUUACAUUGCAUAUUCAAUGAGUCACAAUAAUUGAUCAUG